Molecule: ribosomal RNA, 2876 nt
Filed under: Ralstonia sp. RS642
Lineage: Bacteria; Pseudomonadati; Pseudomonadota; Betaproteobacteria; Burkholderiales; Burkholderiaceae
Description: 23S ribosomal RNA
Rfam family: Bacterial large subunit ribosomal RNA
Source: RNAcentral
GGUCAAGCGAAUAAGUGCAUGUGGUGGAUGCCUUGGCGAUCACAGGCGAUGAAGGACGUAGUAGCUUGCGAAAAGCUGCGGGGAGCUGGCAAACGAGCUUUGAUCCGCAGAUGUCCGAAUGGGGAAACCCGGCCCGUAUGGGUCAUCCCUUGCUGAAUACAUAGGCAAGGGAGGCGAACGCAGUGAACUGAAACAUCUAAGUAGCUGCAGGAAAAGAAAUCAACCGAGAUUCCCAAAGUAGUGGCGAGCGAAAUGGGAACAGCCUUGUACUCUUUAGCAGUAUUGUUAGCGGAACGGAAUGGAAAGUCCGGCCAUAGUGGGUGAUAGCCCCGUACGCGAAAACAGUAUUGUGGAACUAGGUGUACGACAAGUAGGGCGGGACACGUGAAAUCCUGUCUGAAGAUGGGGGGACCAUCCUCCAAGGCUAAAUACUCGUGAUCGACCGAUAGUGAACCAGUAGUGAGGGAAAGGCGAAAGAACCCCGGGAGGGGAGUGAAAUAGAUCCUGAAACCGCAUGCAUACAAACAGUCGGAGCCUGGAAACGGGUGACGGCGUACCUUUUGUAUAAUGGGUCAGCGACUUACAUUCAGUGGCAAGCUUAACCGAUUAGGGAAGGCGUAGCGAAAGCGAGUCCGAAUAGGGCGUUCAGUCGCUGGGUGUAGACCCGAAACCAAGUGAUCUAUCCAUGGCCAGGUUGAAGGUGCGGUAACACGUACUGGAGGACCGAACCCACUAACGUUGAAAAGUUAGGGGAUGAGCUGUGGAUAGGGGUGAAAGGCUAAACAAACUUGGAAAUAGCUGGUUCUCUCCGAAAACUAUUUAGGUAGUGCCUCGUGUCUCACCUUCGGGGGUAGAGCACUGUCAUGGUUGGGGGGUCUAUUGCUGAUUACCCCGCCAUAGCAAACUCCGAAUACCGAAGAGUGCAAUCACGGGAGACAGACAUCGGGUGCUAACGUCCGGUGUCAAGAGGGAAACAACCCAGACCGCCAGCUAAGGUCCCUAAGAUUGGCUAAGUGGGAAACGAAGUGGGAAGGCUAAAACAGUCAGGAGGUUGGCUUAGAAGCAGCCACCCUUUAAAGAAAGCGUAAUAGCUCACUGAUCGAGUCGUCCUGCGCGGAAGAUGUAACGGGGCUAAGCCAGUCACCGAAGCUGCGGAUGCACGUAAGUGCAUGGUAGGAGAGCGUUCUGUAAGCCUGUGAAGGUGUCUUGUAAAGGAUGCUGGAGGUAUCAGAAGUGCGAAUGCUGACAUGAGUAGCGAUAAAGGGGGUGAAAGGCCCCCUCGCCGUAAGCCCAAGGUUUCCUACGCAACGUUCAUCGGCGUAGGGUGAGUCGGCCCCUAAGGCGAGGCAGAGAUGCGUAGCUGAUGGGAAGCAGGUUAAUAUUCCUGCACCGUCGUAUGAUGCGAUGGGGGGACGGAUCGCGGAAGGUUGUCCGGGUGUUGGAAGUCCCGGUCCCUACAUUGGAGAUGGCACUUAGGCAAAUCCGGGUGCGUGAUUCAAGGGUGUGGGGCGAGCGACGUUAGGUCGCGAAGCAAUUGGAAGUGGUUCCAAGAAAAGCCUCUAAGCUUCAGUCAUACGAGACCGUACCGCAAACCGACACAGGUGGGCGAGAUGAGUAUUCUAAGGCGCUUGAGAGAACUCGGGAGAAGGAACUCGGCAAAUUGGUACCGUAACUUCGGGAUAAGGUACGCCCUUGUAGUUUGACUGGCUCGCGCCAGAAGGAUGAAGGGGUUGCAAUAAAAUGGUGGCUGCGACUGUUUAAUAAAAACACAGCACUCUGCAAACACGAAAGUGGACGUAUAGGGUGUGACGCCUGCCCGGUGCCGGAAGAUUAAAUGAUGGGGUGCAAGCUCUUGAUUGAAGUCCCGGUAAACGGCGGCCGUAACUAUAACGGUCCUAAGGUAGCGAAAUUCCUUGUCGGGUAAGUUCCGACCUGCACGAAUGGCGUAACGAUGGCCACACUGUCUCCUCCCGAGACUCAGCGAAGUUGAAGUGUUUGUGAUGAUGCAAUCUCCCCGCGGCUAGACGGAAAGACCCCAUGAACCUUUACUGUAGCUUUGCAUUGGACUUUGAACCGAUCUGUGUAGGAUAGGUGGGAGGCUUUGAAACCGGGACGCUAGUUUCGGUGGAGCCGACCUUGAAAUACCACCCUGGUUUGUUUGAGGUUCUAACCUUGGCCCGUGAAUCCGGGUCGGGGACAGUGCAUGGUAGGCAGUUUGACUGGGGCGGUCUCCUCCCAAAGUGUAACGGAGGAGUUCGAAGGUACGCUUGGUACGGUCGGACAUCGUACCUAAAGUGCAAUGGCAAAAGCGUGCUUAACUGCGAGACCGACAAGUCGAGCAGGUGCGAAAGCAGGACAUAGUGAUCCGGUGGUUCUGUAUGGAAGGGCCAUCGCUCAACGGAUAAAAGGUACUCUGGGGAUAACAGGCUGAUACCGCCCAAGAGUUCAUAUCGACGGCGGUGUUUGGCACCUCGAUGUCGGCUCAUCUCAUCCUGGGGCUGUAGCCGGUCCCAAGGGUAUGGCUGUUCGCCAUUUAAAGAGGUACGUGAGCUGGGUUUAAAACGUCGUGAGACAGUUUGGUCCCUAUCUGCCGUGGGCGUUGGAAUCUUGACGGGGGCUGCUCCUAGUACGAGAGGACCGGAGUGGACGUACCGCUGGUGUACCUGUUGUCUCGCCAGAGGCAUCGCAGGGUAGCUAUGUACGGAAGAGAUAACCGCUGAAAGCAUCUAAGCGGGAAACUCGCCUGAAGAUGAGGAUUCCCUGGAGACUUGAUCUCCCUGAAGGGUCGUUCGAGACCAGGACGUUGAUAGGCUGGGUGUGGAAGCGCAGUAAUGCGUUCAGCUAACCAGUACUAAUUGCCCGUGCGGCUUGAUCCU